UUCAAACGUGUAAAUUUCAUACGCCCUUCAUCGAGUCGGUGAACGACGAGCGAUUUUAAGUCGUCGGUCGGGUAUCCGAACCGACAGGAUCACGCAGAAUGCGUUCACGAACUCGGGAAGGUUCGGCAUGAAAUUGGCCGCAGUUAAGCGUCGUCCAUCGCGCGUGACGUCACGGCAAACGGUCGUUCGUCGCCGACCGGCCGACCGUUAGUUUUCCCUCGCAUGUUUCUUUCGACGGACGCGUCACACGUCGCUCAGCUCCGAGCUCGAACGUUCGCGAUGACCCGCGCGACAACAAGGGCGUAGACGGAGGUCACCGCGCGCUCUUACUCGAUCGCGAACGGUCAGGCUGGUAAUAGGCGAUGUGCCUCGCUUCUAGUUGUAUGAGUCUUCGAGACGCCGCGCCGCCAUGAAAAGUGGACAAACGGAUUCUCUUUCUGUACGCGAUCGGAGGCUGCGUGCAGAGACGAGUGAUCUAUACGAAAUUGUGCAUCGCGAAUGACUCGGUCCAACCAUAAGCAGGCAGGCUCGAGAUUGCGUGAUACGUGGCGAAACAGUGAGAUUCAAUGGUGUUCUAAGAAACGGCGAAACUUCGAACGGCGAUUCUCCGAUCUCUCGGAUAAUUAAUGACAUGGUCAGCGUAUCGAGAAGAUGGCUUUUUGUUUGUGGCGUACAUCUCGGUGUCGCCACACCUUCGACAGAUUCGUUCGUACAUCCGGCUGGCUUUCGAGAGAUUUGUUAUUCGAAUCACGCUGAUUCUCGCAGGAGAUUUUGCACUUUUGUGAAUCUUCCCUUCGUGCGGUCUUUUCUACGUUAUCGCGUGAUUAACCGCGUUUCAAAUGAAUAAAUAUUGUGGGAGUGCAACGAAGAGAUCUACGAGCAAGAAGCGAAGGCUUAGCAGACAGCAAGGAUGAUACGUCUUUUAUGGAAAGUGCUACAUGGAAAUUCUUACAAGAUUAACAACCUAAAUAGUCUGAGAGGAGGAGGAGGCCUAGGAUAGGUAUCGGGUGCCAGCAGAGCAACUUUGUGAAUCAUCGUACAGUCAGUGUUGCAGUAACUCCGCUGUCGCGCAUCGGUUGGUGAGUGAUAAAUAAAUAUUUUAUUGAAAUAAUGAAUUUAUGUCGAAGAAAAAAUAUGGCAAUAACGCAAUUAUAAAACGAAUUUUCUAAUUUUUGUAAUGCUCAUAAGGUUGAUUUUAAUUUAUAAAAAAUAAAGGAUAUAGUUAGGUUUUAUAUGUGCAAUCAAUCGUGGGUCAUUUGACACAUUAUUAAAUUUAUGUACAGGAAUGCAAUUAUGAAAAUUAUAUUUGUUAAAGCGUAGAGUAGUGAUAAUUAUAGAGCAUUUGUGUUGCAUUGAAUACUGUAUAAAUUACACGUAUCGCAAUCGAAUAUUGUAUUGCCAAUCGAUUUAUUUACUGUGUUCGUUAGCAUGAUUAUUAGAUUUAUCUUUCUUGACAAAGUUAACUUGCAUAUCGAAACUUUACCUAUACUUUUUUCCAUAUUUUUUCAAAUAUUCUAUAAAAUAUUUAUGUGUAUGAUUGAAUUAUUCCUAUGAUUGAAAGUAUAUAAAUGAAAUUUAUUAAUGAUUUUUUGUUACCUUCUUUAAAUUUACUUAAGCACCAAUAUCGUAAAUUAAUAAUAAUUAUAUUUAUCUAUAUGUUUAUUUACGUUAUCAUAUUUGGAAUAGUUUUUGAAUUCUACAUUAAUAAAAAUUUUUGAAUGUGUAACUAAUUUGAUCAUAUUUUGUAUGUGUAGUAUUUUAAAAAUAUUUUUUUAUAU
Monomorium pharaonis (pharaoh ant) is the source of this 1778-nucleotide long non-coding RNA. RefSeq lists it as uncharacterized. The transcript has 5 exons. Lineage: Eukaryota; Metazoa; Arthropoda; Insecta; Hymenoptera; Formicidae. The record is from RefSeq and is a predicted model, not a curated record.